This 231-nucleotide long non-coding RNA is filed under the name Volvox carteri. RNAcentral describes it as "long non-coding RNA (VCAR_LNC002749)". The record is from RNAcentral. Lineage: Eukaryota; Viridiplantae; Chlorophyta; Chlorophyceae; Chlamydomonadales; Volvocaceae.
CGGCAUCAAAGUGCCUUGGGAACGCGACGUACUGGUACGAAAGACCGCCUGUUGGGGAUAGGAGUUGGUAUGGGAUUUUACCCCUGCUCUUAAAUUGCGCGCAUGUCGUACAUAAAUAUUACACAACUACAUAGAUGAUCCGUUUUGAGAAGCUUUUGGUGUUUAGUUGAUUGAUGGGGCCAUCGGUCUUGUAUUCGUUCAUUCUAACUAACUAGAAUAACUGUCUUGUUA